RNAcentral lists this ribosomal RNA (247 nucleotides) under uncultured bacterium. Its description in RNAcentral is "partial 16S ribosomal RNA". It matches the Rfam family "Bacterial small subunit ribosomal RNA", at positions 524 to 769 of the family's 1533-position model. The record is from RNAcentral.
UACGUAGGCAGCAAGCGUUGUUCGGAGUUACUGGCGUAAAGGGGUGUGUAGGCGGUUCUUUAAGUUUGGUGUGAAAUCUCCCGGCUCAACCGGGAGGGUGCGCCGAAUACUGAGGGACUCGAGUGCGGGGAGAGGAAAGUGGAAUUCCUGGUGUAGCGGUGGAAAUGCGUAGAUAUCAGGAGGAACACCGUGGUGUAGACGGCUUUCUGGACCGUAACUGACGCUGAGACACGAAAGCGUGGGGUAG